Molecule: small nucleolar RNA, 38 nt
Filed under: Tursiops truncatus (common bottlenose dolphin)
Lineage: Eukaryota; Metazoa; Chordata; Mammalia; Artiodactyla; Delphinidae
Description: Small nucleolar RNA SNORD59 (ENSTTRG00000024840.1)
Source: RNAcentral
UUCUUCUGAGUUUGCUGAAGCCAGUUUGAAAGGUCUUA